AUUGCUUCUCGGCCUUUUGGCUAAGAUCAAGUGUAGGAAAUGUAUUUUUUUUGUUAAAAAGUAUUUGCAAGGGAAAAAAGUCACAUUUUUGGCCAUAGGGAUGGGACCUUAU
Heterocephalus glaber (naked mole-rat) is the source of this 112-nucleotide small nuclear RNA. Its record names the gene U2. It matches the Rfam family "U2 spliceosomal RNA". From Rfam's summary of the family: U2 is a small nuclear RNA (snRNA) component of the spliceosome (involved in pre-mRNA splicing). Complementary binding between U2 snRNA (in an area lying towards the 5' end but 3' to hairpin I) and the branchpoint sequence (BPS) of the intron results the bulging out of an unpaired adenosine, on the BPS, which initiates a nucleophilic attack at the intronic 5' splice site, thus starting the first of two transesterification reactions that mediate splicing. Lineage: Eukaryota; Metazoa; Chordata; Mammalia; Rodentia; Bathyergidae. The record is from Ensembl.